This is a non-coding RNA of Microcebus murinus (gray mouse lemur), 190 nucleotides long. Lineage: Eukaryota; Metazoa; Chordata; Mammalia; Primates; Cheirogaleidae. The record is from RefSeq and is a predicted model, not a curated record.
GUGGAGAAGUGCACAAAGGUGGAGAGGAACGUAGAGACGCAGGCUGCUGGGAGUAAAGACCACACAGAUGGAGAGGGCUCAGAAGCUGGGAACCAAUGUGCUUGUGAAACUGAACACGACAAAAGUAUGGAUAUGGGAAACCAACAUCCUUCUAUUAGUAGGCUUCAGGAAAUCCAAAAGGAAGUAAAAA